RNAcentral lists this ribosomal RNA (253 nucleotides) under uncultured bacterium. RNAcentral's name for it is "partial 16S ribosomal RNA". It matches the Rfam family "Bacterial small subunit ribosomal RNA", at positions 524 to 776 of the family's 1533-position model. The record is from RNAcentral.
UACAGAGGGGGCAAGCGUUGUUAGGAAUUACUGGGCGUAAAGGGCGCGUAGGCGGCCUGCUAAGUCGAACGUGAAAUCCCUGGGCUCAACCCAGGAACUGCGUCCGAUACUGAUUGGCUUGAAUCCGGGAGAGGGAUGCGGAAUUCCAGGUGUAGCGGUGAAAUGCGUAGAUAUCUGGAGGAACACCGGUGGCGAAGGCGGCAUCCUGGACCGGCAUUGACGCUGAGGCGCGAAAGCCAGGGGAGCAAACGGG